ACCCCCUCCUCACGUUUUCUUUUGGGGGACAAAACAAAAACUCACCACUCACAGUCAAUAAGCACACAACACACUAUAUACAUAUUCAUUCACAUCUCACAGAUUUCUAUACAUACCUCAUGAAAAAAUAAAUUUUUUUCUUCUCCACAAAACGAUGACACACUGCACAUGCACAAAAAAAAUCUCAUGAAUACACACACACCAAUUGAGGUUCACUAAGACACAGACAAAAAAAAAUACUCCACACACAGAGAGAAAAAUCAGGCGAGGGAAAAUUAGUGAAUGUGAGUGAGGAGAGAAGGGAGAAUCGACAGAGAGAAAUAGUUAAGAAAGGUUCAUUCUGAUUACCAGAGUUCUCUGAAGUCCGUCGAAGCGGAGAGCAGGAACCCAGCUCCACAUCUUUGCCUAAUAAUCAGUAACUAGGCAAAUACCACCGGAAUAUCUAAAAAUACGAACAAACACCAUCGGAAAACCAUUCUAAACGACCCAGCUUUGUCCACGAUCGAACCCAUAUAGGAAAUUAUGAAAGGGUUAUUUUGGUCCUCGGGAUCUUGUUGUGAUUUUGUUGGAAAACAGUGAAGCCAUACUGAGGUUGGGAUUUUUCUUGUUGGGGUUUCGAAUCGAGGUUCUUCGGCACUGAUUUUGUCUCUUCAUUCAAGUAAUAUUGAGUUUGAAAGCUUCAAAAUGAGGUGGUUGGUGGCAUUGCAGCAGAGGCGCAACAGGGCUAUCCAACUUCAACCAAUGGGAUGAGUCAUAGGUUUUUAUCUCUCUUAUAUAAGCUAAAGUUACAAGAGCAAAACCUAGUUUUUACAAAGCUCAAAAAAUCUUAUCUCUCAAAAGCAAAA
This is a long non-coding RNA of Capsicum annuum, 845 nucleotides long. RefSeq lists it as uncharacterized. NCBI's taxonomy places the organism in Eukaryota, Viridiplantae, Streptophyta, Magnoliopsida, Solanales, Solanaceae. The record is from RefSeq and is a predicted model, not a curated record. The transcript is spliced from 2 exons.